Long non-coding RNA from Osmia bicornis bicornis, 1439 nucleotides. RefSeq lists it as uncharacterized. The transcript is spliced from 5 exons. NCBI's taxonomy places the organism in Eukaryota, Metazoa, Arthropoda, Insecta, Hymenoptera, Megachilidae. The record is from RefSeq and is a predicted model, not a curated record.
GGUGGUCAUGUGCGUUGGUAUACUCCGUAUCGUGUACGUUUACGAUGCUCGACGAUGAGGUGGAAAGUAUUGUGCAGCUUCACGGUUCAUUCCCGGUUAAUUUGUUUGGUCCAAUUGCGAUUGCUAUUUAUUGAUUGAUUUAAUCCUCGUGUUAAAUGUGUUAAACUGUUUAUUAUUUAUUUCAUUUAUUUAUUUAUUUAUUUAUCUCCAGAUUACUGUUCUUACUGUUUCUGCUAACCCCAUCGGAGCAGGUAACCUGUGCGAUUUCUGUCGCAUCGCGAUGCUAAGCGGCUGUAUUUAUUGAUGGCCGUUGACGUUGUGGUCAUGAUUCCGGUCUCCUCAUGAUUGGAAAUAAUCUUGAUUGCAGAGAGUGCCAAGGCGAACAACUGAUGGACUCAUGGUGGCAAUGGUUGUGGUGGGGAAUAAUGCUAAAGGAGUUUAUGCUUGUAACGGUUCUUGGUAGGGCUUUCUUCUAUGGGACACUGUAUUGUGGCCUGGUAUAGACAAUAUUGGUGGACAUUAGCUGUGUGGAGUGCUGGGAGCCCGGUGGGAAUUGAACGGGGUUUGAUUGAUCGGGCUGAAUUGAGAUGAUCUGAUUGGGAUGGAUCGUCCGGUUGCCCUGUGAAAUUUUAUGAUACGGGUAUAACCUGGAAAUCCGUUGCAAUCUGCUGCAAUUUUGUUACAAAUUAUUAAUGAUCACGGUGCUGGGAGCCCGGUUGGAAUUGAACGGGGUUAGAUUUGAUCGGGCUGAAUUGAGUUGAUCUGGUUGGAAUUAAUAGAUCGUCCGGUUGUCCUGUUAAUCUUUAUGAUACGGGUAGCUGAUAACCUGGUAAUCUGCUGCAAUCUGUUGCAAUUUGGGUGCAAAAUUAUAUAAUCACGGUGCUGGGAGCCCGGUUGGAAUUGAACGGGGUUAGAUUUGAUCGGGCUGAAUUGAGAUGAUAUGGUUGGAAUUAAUAGAUCGUCCGGUUGUCCUGUGAAUCUUUAUGAUACGGGUAACUGAUAACCUGGUAAUCUGUUGCAAUCUGUUGCAAUUUUGUUACAAAUUAUUAAUAAUCACGGUAAUAUCUUGAUUUUCUUUAUAUUAUAUAUUAUAUUCUUAUUUGAGCAUGACUGUAUUAUACUGAUUAUUGAAUUAUUAAAUUGCUGAAUUAUUAUUAUUAUUAAUUACACGCGGCUUAUAAUACAUGAUAUCUUCAUAUAUAUUGGUGCCUCGGCUCGCUGUUGGCACUGAAGUCGUUCAGUGGGAACGCAGCGAGCCGAGAGAACCAGAGACUAAAUAUUUCGGACCUUAACUUAAUUGUUUCUGCCAGUUGUCUAAUGCGGCACUCUUUCUCACUUGAAUUGAUUUAGUCAAGUGCUGGGUUGUUAGGUUUGGUAUUUAUUUAUUUAUUAUUUACUUUAGCUUGAUCAAUUAUUUAUUUAAUACUGUGGGGUUUUGC